UUUAAAAAGGAAAGAAAAGAAAAAAGCGAGUAGACGACUAAUAUAAUAGAGCCAGCGAAAGCCUCCCGAGCAUCUUCUUCUUCUUCUUCUUCUCUCGUCCAAUCUUGUAUCGUGUUACAGAGGGAAAGUGUGAUACAUCCAUCGAUCUCUCAAUGCCUGCGCAGAAGCGUUCUUUGCCGGACAACCUCACCGACGAUGACGACGACAGCCCCACACCUCACCACCGCCACCGCCCCAAGCAAUCUCGACCCCAAGAUGAACUCCUACAGCAACAACAAGGAGACGUAGUAGUAGAACAACGAGAACAAGAGGAGGAGGAGGAGGAAGAUGAAGAAGAAAACGACGACGUCGAAGAAGAUGAGGAAUACGAUCGAGAUGAAGUUGACGAUUAUGACGGAAGCCCAUCCUCUACCUCUCAACAAAACCCCGAAUUUGUACUUGUACAACUGGUAGAUAUUCGUAAAGAUGUACACUGCCCAAUAUGUCUUGGGAUUAUUAAGAAGACACGGACUGUAAUGGAAUGCCUACACAGGUUUUGCAGGGAAUGCAUCGACAAGUCAAUGCGAAUGGGGAACAAUGAGUGCCCUGCUUGCCGCACACACUGUGCCAGUCGACGGUCUUUGAGAGAUGAUCCAAAUUAUGAUGCCCUAAUUGCAACAUUAUAUCCAGAUAUUGAGAAAUAUGAGAAGGAGGAAUUGGCUUUCCAUGAAGAGGAGAGGACUCGAAAUGAGCAGAUACAAGCAUCAAUUGCCCAAAUAUUCCAACGACAAUCAGAAGCUUUAAUCAAGAGACGCUCACUUGGCAAAGAUACCCAAGAUGCAUAUAAUAUGAGAUCCCUGCGCAAUAAUCGGAGUGGUUUCCGAAGGAGAAGAAACUCUCAAGCCACUGAACUCCAAGGGUUUGAAGACAAUGAGGAUGAAAAUGACACUAGUAACAUGGGCACAAAAUCGCCUUCAGCUGAAGAGAGACAUACUGAAGUGAGGCCAAGACGGCUAAGAAGACGGACAGGAUUUCGAUCAUCUCAGCCUUCAUCAUCUGUGACCAAUUCAAAUGGAGGAUGCACUGAAAAUGAUGUAGAAGUGAGCCGAGAGAACAGGGGAAUUUCACAGGGUCUUGUGUGGAGCUCUGAAAUGCUUGCUUGGGGCCGGGGUGGUGCUCGGAGUCACACCCGGCAUGGCAUUGCAAGCUGUUGCAGCAAUAAGAGUUCUCGAAGCACUCGCUUAUCAAAGUUGGUCGAUUACCUUCGGAACCUCAAGGAAAACAAUGAUGAGUUAGAUGUUCAUCUCAUGCUUAUUUCUUUGGAUAAAAGAUGCACACCAAACUUGCAGCAGCCUCACCUUUGCUGUAGGCCGAGUUUGUCAGUCAAACACCUUUGUGAAUAUGUUGCUCGUCAAACACCUUUGCAAGCCGAAGAAGUUGAGUUGUUCUCAGUUAAAGGACACCACAAUUCCAAUGACGAGAAAUUGACUGAUCACCCAUCAGCGUUAAUGAAUGAUCUGGAUUCAGUUCCCCUUUUGGUUGAUCCAUGCAGAUAUGAUUUGCAAAUUCUGCAAGCAGAAGAAACUUUGGCAGGGAUUAAGGCCAAUUGCACUUCUAGUAGGGACCGCUUGAUCCUUGUGCCAUAAUGAACUAGUUUCCACAAGAAGAAUGCAAGCUUGUUCACCUUCCUUUUGGGUUUCUGCAUCCUAUAUGUCACUGUUUCUGCUGUAAAUGCUGUAAAUGAUUUAAAUGCUUUUGGGUUUCUGCAUCCUUUUGAAUUCUAGCAUACAGGCGGAAGGAGAUCUAGAUAGGAAAUUGAUUUGGAUGAGAAGAUUGGGUUAACUGUUGAUAGAGUUGUUGUAAAUGUAGUCAAAGAUAGAUCACGGGAUGCAUUGAUCCCAUUUGAGACAUUUUUCUUGUUGUAUAAGAGACAUAAAACAUCUGUUUCUAUUAUUUGUUGUAAUUUGAGGCAUAAGGCUUUUUCCUUGUAUAAGAGACAUUUUUCUUGUUCCUUCUUACAGCAGCAUAACACUUUUUUCCUUGUUAA
This is an RNA transcript of Rosa rugosa (rugosa rose), 2026 nucleotides long. It is a transcript of the gene named putative E3 ubiquitin-protein ligase RING1a, with no coding region annotated. The record is from RefSeq and is a predicted model, not a curated record. The transcript is spliced from 11 exons. NCBI's taxonomy places the organism in Eukaryota, Viridiplantae, Streptophyta, Magnoliopsida, Rosales, Rosaceae.